AAUCUACUUUUUGACCAUACCUAUAGGGUGUGAAAAAUUAAAAUAUGGUGGGCUUGGAUUUUAGACCUUAUGGGUUGGAACUGGGGAUAUAUAAUCUCAAGAAGUUGAUUAAACAUGGAAAGGGCACUUGUGAAAGAGAAAUAGGAGAAAGCAAUGGAGGGUGGAAAUAAGCGAUAUAUUUAAACAAAAACAGCAUUAUGAAACCCAUUGCUUUGUUCAAUAAGUAUACACUGAUAAAACAUUUCUUAAAUUCUGACACAGCUUUAACAGAUCCACAUGGUAAAUGAAAUUCUCAGGCCUUGCCAAGUACUGACAGGAAUUGAAAUGAGAUCUGGUCCCUUAUGAAAAAAACAUGUAUAAGUCGUCACGGAGACAGGCACAACAAAGCAAUAGCAAAGCUGGUCUCCUAAGGAUGUCUGCUGACGGUAUACCUAGAUAAGACCAGAAAGACCUGGUGGAGAUCUCAAUUAAAUGGAUUCCUUCAAUACAUCAACUCCUCUCCUCUGCCCCGCUUCCAAUUCGGCGAUGGAAGAGUCAGCAUCGAAGUUGACAGAAGCCAUUCAGGAGCCCA
Molecule: long non-coding RNA, 571 nt
Organism: Peromyscus eremicus (cactus mouse)
Lineage: Eukaryota; Metazoa; Chordata; Mammalia; Rodentia; Cricetidae
Exons: 3
Source: RefSeq, a predicted model, not a curated record